UACAGAGGGGGCAAGCGUUGUUCGGAAUUACUGGGCGUAAAGGGCGCGUAGGCGGCCUUCUAAGUCGAACGUGAAAUCCCCGGGCUCAACCCGGGAACUGCGUCCGAUACUGGAAGGCUUGAAUCCGGGAGAGGGAUGCGGAAUUCCAGGUGUAGCGGUGAAAUGCGUAGAUAUCUGGAGGAACACCGAUGGCGAAGGCAGCUGCCUGGCCCAGAACUGACGCUGAGGUGCGAAAGCGUGGGGAGCGAACGGG
Molecule: ribosomal RNA, 253 nt
Filed under: uncultured prokaryote
Description: partial 16S ribosomal RNA
Rfam family: Bacterial small subunit ribosomal RNA
Source: RNAcentral